GACGAACGCUGGCGGCGUGCUUAACACAUGCAAGUCGAACGGAAAGGCCUGCUUUCCCUUGUGGAUUGCGGGUACUCGAGUGGCGAACGGGUGAGUAACACGUGAGUGAUCUGCCCCCAACUUGGGUAUAAGCCUGGGAAACUGGGUCUAAUUCCCGAUAGGACUGCAGGGUGGUGCCUGUGGUGGAAAACGAUUUUCUAGUGGUUGGGGAUGAGCUCGCGGCCUAUCAGCUUGUUGGUGGGGUAAUGGCCUACCAAGGCGGCGACGGGUAGCCGGCCGGGGAGGGGGGACGGCGAGAGUGGGACUGAGAGACGGCCCAGACUGCUACGGGAGGCAGGAGUGGGGAAGAUUAGACAAUGGGCGGAAGGCUGAUGCAGCGACGCGGCGUGGGGGAUGACGGCCUUCGGGUUGUAAACUCCUUUCGACCGCGAGGAAGCCACCUGGUUGGAAGGGUGGUGACGGUAGUGGUAGAAGAAGCACCGGCUAACUACGUG
RNAcentral lists this ribosomal RNA (494 nucleotides) under uncultured bacterium. Its description in RNAcentral is "partial 16S ribosomal RNA". It matches the Rfam family "Bacterial small subunit ribosomal RNA", at positions 28 to 507 of the family's 1533-position model. The record is from RNAcentral.